Molecule: non-coding RNA, 74 nt
Organism: Stegodyphus mimosarum
Lineage: Eukaryota; Metazoa; Arthropoda; Arachnida; Araneae; Eresidae
Source: Rfam
GCCUUCGUGGUGUAAUGGUCAAGCACAGUCGGCGCGUAUUCAAGUGGUUCGUGGUUCGAGUCCCGGCGAGGGCA